Molecule: ribosomal RNA, 775 nt
Filed under: uncultured Neocallimastigales
Lineage: Eukaryota; Fungi; Neocallimastigomycota; Neocallimastigomycetes; Neocallimastigales
Description: partial large subunit ribosomal RNA
Rfam family: Eukaryotic large subunit ribosomal RNA
Source: RNAcentral
UCAGACGAUGCGUCAUGCAUAUCAAUAAGCGGAGGAAAAGAAACUAACAAGGAUUCCCUUAGUAACGGCGAGUGAAGCGGGAAGAGCUCAAAUUUGAAAUCUUCAAGGUUUUACCUUGACGAAUUGUAGUUUAAAGAAGUGUUUUCUGCUGAAGUUUUGGUAAAAGUUCUUUGGAAUAGGACAUCAUAGAGGGUGAGAAUCCCGUAUUUGACCAUUAUUUUCAGCUGUGUGAUACACUUUCAAAGAGUCGGAUUGUUUGGGAAUGCAGUCCAAAAUGGGUGGUAAAUUUCAUCUAAAGCUAAAUAUUGGCGAGAGACCGAUAGCGAACAAGUACCGUGAGGGAAAGAUGAAAAGAACUUUGAAAAGAGAGUUAAACAGUACGUGAAAUUGUCAAAAGGGAAGCGUUUGACACCAGUGUUGUUUUCUCGAAAAUCAAGUUAAAAAGAGUUAGAUUUUGUUGUGUAUUGACCUUAACAGCUUGCAUUUCAAUCUUCUUGCUUUUUUUAAUGCACUUUUCGUUUAACAAGUCAACAUCAGUUUCUUUUGUUGUAAAAAGGUCAUUGGAAGGUGGCUUUCUUUUCGGAGAAAGUGUUUAUAGCCUUUGACUCCUGCAAUCGGAGAGACUGAGGUCUGCAGCGUAGAUCCUUCGGGGUUAGAUACAUUUGUGCUAAGUUAUAGCUUUUUAUAGACAACUUGUUGACUAUGAUUAGUCUUGUAGCUUACUCGCUUAUGCUAUUUUACCUACGCUUAGGAUGUUGAGUCGUAGAGCACGCAG